UCAGGAUGAACGCUAGCUACAGGCUUAACACAUGCAAGUCGAGGGGCAUCAGGAUCUGUGCUGCACAGAUGCUGGCGACCGGCGCGACGGGUGAGUAACGCGUAUCCAACCUCCCCCUUAGUAGAGGAUAGCCCGGCGAAAGUCGGAUUAAUACUCUAUGUUGUUCAAUGCGGACAUCUAAGUUGAACCAAAGGUUUACCGCUAAGGGAUGGGGGAUGCGUCUGAUUAGGUAGUAGGCGGGGUAACGGCCCACCUAGCCAACGAUCAGUAGGGGUUCUGAGAGGAAGGUCCCCCACAUUGGAACUGAGACACGGUCCAAACUCCUACGGGAGGCAGCAGUGAGGAAUAUUGGUCAAUGGGCGCGAGCCUGAACCAGCCAAGUAGCGUGACAGGAUGACGGCCCUAUGGGUUGUAAACUGCUUUUAUGCGGGGAUAAAGUGCACCACGUGUGGUGUUUUGUAGGUACCGCAUGAAUAAGGACCGGCUAAUUCCGUGCCAGCCGCCGC
RNAcentral lists this ribosomal RNA (506 nucleotides) under uncultured bacterium. Its description in RNAcentral is "bacterial SSU rRNA". It matches the Rfam family "Bacterial small subunit ribosomal RNA", at positions 24 to 518 of the family's 1533-position model. The record is from RNAcentral.